UCUGGGCGGGAAGUGUGAAAAAGUUUCAGCCUAAAAUGGAAUCGGGAAUAGGAAAUGGAGAAUCUCACGCAUGCGCCCUCAGAAGGAUAUGCCCGCUCUGAGCCUGAUUAUGCAAGACCGACGCUUCUCUCCUGACCAAUGAACUUCCGCCAAGAAUCCCUCCCCGUCCUCAAGCCAAUGAACUUACAGCCUGGACUCUGGCGGAACUCCCCACUUUGCGUUCCUUGCGGGAAGACGGACUCCUGCAAGCUGUGUUCCCCACCCGUCGGCUGAGAACCAGUUUCCAGACAGGGCUGUCCAGUGAAAUUGGGGAGCAGGAGAAAGAAAGAAACCAAGCCUUUCCCAGGAAUGUAAUUUUAACUAGUCAGUCUGGAAUUUCCUGGUCAACACCAGUGACGAAAUCUCCUUGACAGACUCCCGGUGUGCUCCAAAGGAAGGUGACCUUGCCUGAAACAAUCUACUCCUUGCUGGAAUCACUACCUUGCCCUGACUCUUUCUGCCUAUAAGUUUUCCCUUUUGUACAGUUUCUUGGAGCUCCUUUCCACUUGCUGGAUGGGAUGCUGCCGAUUCAUGAAUCAUUGAAUAAAGCCAGUAAGAUCUUUA
Leopardus geoffroyi (Geoffroy's cat) is the source of this 603-nucleotide long non-coding RNA. RefSeq lists it as uncharacterized. The transcript is spliced from 3 exons. The record is from RefSeq and is a predicted model, not a curated record. Lineage: Eukaryota; Metazoa; Chordata; Mammalia; Carnivora; Felidae.